UACGGGGGGGAGCAAGCGUUGUUCGGAUUUACUGGGCGUAAAGGGCGCGCAGGCGGCGCAUUUUGUCAGGCGUGAAAGCCCCGGGCUUAACCUGGGAACUGCGUUUGAUACGGAUGGGCUAGAGUUCGGGAGAGGAGAGUGGAAUUCCCAGUGUAGAGGUGAAAUGCGUAGAUAUCGGGAGGAACACCAGUGGCGAAGGCGGCUAGCUGGCCUGUAACUGACGCUGAGGCGCGAAGGCUAGGGGAGCGAACAGG
This 254-nucleotide ribosomal RNA is filed under the name uncultured bacterium. RNAcentral describes it as "partial 16S ribosomal RNA". It matches the Rfam family "Bacterial small subunit ribosomal RNA", at positions 524 to 776 of the family's 1533-position model. The record is from RNAcentral.